This 253-nucleotide ribosomal RNA is filed under the name uncultured bacterium. RNAcentral's name for it is "partial 16S ribosomal RNA". It matches the Rfam family "Bacterial small subunit ribosomal RNA", at positions 524 to 776 of the family's 1533-position model. The record is from RNAcentral.
UACGUAGGGUGCGAGCGUUGUCCGGAAUUAUUGGGCGUAAAGGGCUCGUAGGCGGUUUGUCGCGUCGGGAGUGAAAAUCCAGGGCUUAACUCGGAAAGGUCAACUGAUACUGUGCGACUAGAGUGCAGAAGGGGCAACUGGAAUUCUCGGUGUAGCGGUGAAAUGCGUAGAUAUCGAGAGGAACACCUGCGGCGAAGGCGGGUUGCUGGGCUGACACUGACGCUGAUGCGCGAAAGCCAGGGGAGCGAACAGG